RNAcentral lists this ribosomal RNA (125 nucleotides) under Promicromonospora sp. AC04. Lineage: Bacteria; Bacillati; Actinomycetota; Actinomycetes; Micrococcales; Promicromonosporaceae. The record is from RNAcentral.
UACGGUGGUCUUAGCGUGGGGGAAACGCCCGGUCCCAUUCCGAACCCGGAAGCUCAGCCCUACAGCGCCGAUGGUACUGCCCUGGAGACGGGGUGGGAGAGUAGGACGCCGCCGGACAACCAUUC